UAAAUCCAGAAGGGCUCUUGGAUUG
This 25-nucleotide non-coding RNA is filed under the name Mus musculus (house mouse). The record is from RNAcentral. Lineage: Eukaryota; Metazoa; Chordata; Mammalia; Rodentia; Muridae.